AGUGAACGCUGGCGGUAGGCCUAACACAUGCAAGUCGAACGGCAGCACAGUAAGAGCUUGCUCUUACGGGUGGCGAGUGGCGGACGGGUGAGGAAUACAUCGGAAUCUACUUUUUCGUGGGGGAUAACGUAGGGAAACUUACGCUAAUACCGCAUACGACCUACGGGUGAAAGCAGGGGAUCUUCGGACCUUGCGCGAUUGAAUGAGCCGAUGUCGGAUUAGCUAGUUGGCGGGGUAAAGGCCCACCAAGGCGACGAUCCGUAGCUGGUCUGAGAGGAUGAUCAGGCACACUGGAACUGAGACACGGUCCAGAAUCCUACGGGAGGCAGCAGUGGGGAAUAUUGGACAAUGGGCGCAAGCCUGAUCCAGCCAUACCGCGUGGGUGAAGAAGGCCUUCGGGUUGUAAAGCCCUUUUGUUGGGAAAGAAAAGCAGCAGGUUAAUACCCCGCUGUUCUGACGGUACCCAAAGAAUAAGCACCGGCUAACUUCGUG
Molecule: ribosomal RNA, 492 nt
Filed under: uncultured bacterium
Lineage: Bacteria
Description: partial 16S ribosomal RNA
Rfam family: Bacterial small subunit ribosomal RNA
Source: RNAcentral